CCUACGGGAGGCAGCAGUGAGGAAUAUUGGUCAAUGGACGAGAGUCUGAACCAGCCAAGUAGCGUGAAGGAUGACUGCCCUAUGGGUUGUAAACUUCUUUUAUAUGGGAAUAAAAUGUUCCACGUGUGGGAUUUUGUAUGUACCAUAUGAAUAAGGAUCGGCUAACUCCGUGCCAGCAGCCGCGGUAAUACGGAGGAUCCGAGCGUUAUCCGGAUUUAUUGGGUUUAAAGGGUGCGUAGGUGGAGUGUUAAGUCAGUUGUGAAAGUUUGCGGCUCAACCGUAAAAUUGCAGUUGAAACUGGCAGUCUUGAGUACAGUAGAGGUGGGCGGAAUUCGUGGUGUAGCGGUGAAAUGCUUAGAGAUCACGAAGAACUCCGAUUGCGAAGGCAGUUCACUGGACUGCAACUGACGCUGAGGCUCGAAAGUGUGGGUAUCAAACAGGAUUAGAUACCCCAGUAGUC
RNAcentral lists this ribosomal RNA (460 nucleotides) under uncultured bacterium. RNAcentral describes it as "partial 16S ribosomal RNA". It matches the Rfam family "Bacterial small subunit ribosomal RNA", at positions 338 to 795 of the family's 1533-position model. The record is from RNAcentral.